CAAGAAGCACACAGGAAGCUCCUAGCCAACACCAAUCAAGGCCUCCAUCCAAUCCCAAGCAACCUCGAAUAUGUCUUGCUGCGGAGGAAACUGCGGAUGCGGCACCGCCUGCAAGUGCGGCAACGGCUGCGGUGGCUGCAACAUGUACCCCGAGGUUGAGGCCGCCGGCGCCACCCUCCUCGUCUCCGCCACUGCCACUCACAAGGGGUACGUCCCUUCUCUUGACAAAAUUUUCUCCACAGCUCAUACAUCAUCAUGCACUCGAUCUUUUUUUUUUGCGGGGUACGUGCAGGAGCUCCGGCGGCAUGGAGAUGGCGGCCGAGAACGGCGGCUGCGGCUGCACCCAGUGCAAGUGCGGCACCAGCUGCGGCUGCUCCUGCUGCAGCUGCUAGAUCAUUGAUCAUGCAUGCGCCGCGUGCAUCAUAUCUAUGAUCUACGUAUCCAUCUACUACCAUGUAAUGCCACCUGAUCGAGGGUCUUUGUAUGUAUGUAGUAUGUACGCACCUGCCUGCAUGAGCAGAGCGGGUGCCAUUCCAUGCAUGUAAACCCCUAAAUAAAAUCUCCCGUGGUUUUGCUUACAUCGUGUUGUUAGAUCCUCCUCCUAUUAGUGUUGCUUUCGGGUUCUUCUUAUGCACUAGCAGGAUCAGAGGCCGGUCUUUUGUUCUUGGUCUUCUCCUCAAACUGUCGUUUUCCUCUUCUCUAUGGUUCCAUGUGCGGCAGUAUUUUCUUCUUCUGUUGCCGAGUGUUGUAUCAGACUGUACCUUGUUUUGUGGUUUAUUCCUAUCCAUCUCGAAAUAUAGUGCAGGAAUUUAUUUGCAAAAGGUGGAUCUCAACAAGACACGACGGUAUGUGUAUCUUGCAGGAUUUAUUGAUCGGUCUAUCUUAUGCAUCUUAUUAAAAAAAUACAUUAAGGUCUCAUGGUCAAGCCAAAUUAUCAUUGUUUUUCCUUGCAUGCAAAAUGCAGCAAUAAAUCUUCGUCCUUGGCUUGUUUCUCAUUUCACUGCCUACGUUGCAGGUAUCCGACCCUGUUGGAAUCUCCUUUUCUGUCAUUGUGUUCACUUUCUGUGAUGUGAUGUGUGCGCAAAUAUUCCCACAACAACAACAUAAUAAUAAAGCCAUAUACGCAAGCAACCGAAUAAUGGCAAUGAUAUAUUACUGCUCAAGGCGCAUCUCCAAAUCAACCUGUCAUGUCCAUGGCUGCGUCUAAGCACUCGGGGCAGAAAUACUCACUCUCCGCCACUGAUUCAUAUCACCGAAUCCACACGGCCAAAUUACGUCCUCCAUGUUUUAAGCGAUGCCACUAUAUCUCGUGGGAAAAUUGUUUCCACAGUUCGAUAUCCCUCCCUUUGAUGAAAAAAUUCACGCUUGGCUUCUGCAUCACAGAGUGCAGAUAACGAAUAUUGUUUUCUAUGUUCUGAACUGGAACACUAUAUCUUGUGUAAAAAAUUGUGUCAACAAUAUCGAUAUUCCCUCCUAUAAAAUAAAAUCAUCAAUAGCUCACUUCUCUAUAUAACUGGAUGCAAAGUAAUGGGCGGUGUGGAGCACCCAAGACAGCACGCAAAAUAUCGGUGUUAUUUUAACUCCACUACGUAGACAAGUCACUAUAUUUACACAAUUAUGUAAGAAAAAGAGCUCUUUUAUGGUACCCUGUAUUGAAUAUUGACCGUCCAUCUGCAAAGAUCCAAUGGUGGGUACUUAUCUGUACUGGUGAAACUGGAUUAGCAGCAUCGCUAGUACCGCACGUCUCACGUCCACCGGUAUACUGCUCGGAGGGCAUUAUCGGUGACUCUGCAUCACCGGCAGCCGCCCGCCGGGGCUCGCCUCCUCUUCGCCCCCAUGCCCGCUGGGGCGCCUCCUCCCUGCCUUUAAUCCGCUGUGCUAUGCAUGCUUCUAUGGUUUUGGACUUCUGGCAUGGCACCGUGCGCCCCAUCCCCCUUCCACGCUACGGCCGCGAUGUUCUUUGCCGCCCCGCAUGGCUGAGCAGUGAGCACCUUAGCAUCGCGUUUAUUGUGUUGCCUCGUUCAUGACGACAGUGCAUGCCAAACCACCCUGCGUUGACGAUGAGGCCAGGAUGUGUACAACGUCGUGGUCUUCACGGAGAGCUGCGGCUACGAGAGUGCCGGAGCCUGGCGGAACCUCGCCUAUUUUGUGCUAACCAUGCCCUCGCUACGCUCAUGGCCGUCCUCCUUUAUUUUACUACCGCUUGCCUUCAUGAUCGAGCUCUUCAUGGCCUGGAUCACGCUUUACUUUAGCCUCAGCUUGCCGGACGUGGAGCAGCUACUCAUCUGCCUUUGCUGUGAGGUCGACGACCACGUCAUUGUUCAAAAGCUCACCCAGGCAGGGCUCAACAUACCUGUUUCCUCGUCGUCACCCCGCUGUCACAGACUCACAGGAGUGCACGAUGCAUUCCGAAAUAUUGAUUCGCCAGAGCAAUUCCCUUCACGAACACAAGAAGAGCUUUCACCGUCACAUAUACUGCUCCCUCCCCAGUAGCAGUAUAGGGUACCAUAAAAACCCUCAAGAAAAAUAAAUAACUCAGAGAACUGUCUGGCCAUAGAUGGAGCUUUCUACAGAUGGGGACAAGAAUUUGGCACCACCCACUCAAUUUCCCUCUCACCUUUUUGCAUUGCUUUCAUAUGUAAAAAAACAAAAACAAAAUAGUGAGUUGACUUGCGAUCUGCCUUAAAAUGACAAGAUGACGGUUGGGGGUUAAAAAAACAUUCAAAUGCAUUUUAUAUAUUCAUAUGUUUACUUAUUUUGUAUUUGUUUGUGCAUGUCAUAAAAAUCAUCAAUUUCCACAAGCAUACAUAAUACUCAAUGAUCUACAUUGACAAUAGGCUUUGAGAUUUUUCAACGCAUGACAAGAAAAAUCAAAUGAGGUCAGCUGGAAAUUAAAGAUCAGUUUUGACUUCCAAAAAAUUAUGAUCUCUUUUGUCCAAACUUAAAAGGAAUCAUUACAGAAAAUUUGGAGAUUCCAAUUGUUAGAAUAUUUUCCUACAGGACUAGUAGGGCUGGGAACCAUAAUGAUAUUUUCUAUGGCCUAAUUGACAUGUUUAUGUUGAGCCAAAUCUUUUGGAAAUAGUUUCGUUGAUUCAGUGACAACUAUGUGCUUGCACCUAACGCUUGAGAAAAUUCUUGUAUUUUUUCCCUCUUGCAAUAAAUCAACAUCCAUAUUUUACGCAUUUACUCCAUCUUCAAUUCCCACAGAAUUCAACACAGCAUGACCUGAAAUCUGUGUGUUAAGUUUUCCGGUUCCUGUCUUUUUAAAAUGCUGCAAAAGUAUGUGGCAUGUAAUCUUUAAAAAUAGUGGGAGUGUGAUAGUUAUUGAAAUGCAUGUAGGAUGGAAACUAAAAUUUCAGUAAAAUUCAGCUUAUAACACUAAAAUUGAAAAGGUUGCCAAGCCUAUGGCAACCAAGAGCCGCCAAGAUUUCUUAAAUAACAAAUAUUUUCGGCGACCUCCCCCAAAGAAGACAUAGCUUUUUCCUUGUCUUGACAUUCAAAAGCACUGAGUGAGGGGUAUCGGCUGAAUAUAUUCACUAAGGGCAUGCACAAAAGAGAGUUGACUAUUAUUAUUUUGCAAUGCUUUCAGAAUUUAGUUUGAUAUUGGUUUAAUUCAUAGUUCAUAAUUUACCGAGAAAUACCACUACGAGGUCAAGCACCCCUAAACUUGACCGUUAUGGCUGCAUGCAUCAAUGUAUGCCGAGGGCCGCGCGCGGGGGGUCUUGUUUGGAAAAUAAUAAUGAUCUUAUAGUGCAAUGAUUGGUCAUUGCCUAAGGUAUUUCCCUCUGUUCCAAGAUACAAGGUGUAUUUUUUAUUAAAAAAAACAAAAUUCCCUAUGUUUGACCAAAUUUAAAAUAAAACGUCUCUGUGUUUGGAAACCAUUUAUAUUUUUAUAAGCUCGAUCAAACAUAGAAGAUUUGACUUCAGAAAAAAAAAUAGUACAACUUAUAUUAUGAAACGGGAGUUAGUAGGUACACCAAUAAUUCGAUAUACGCACAAAAUGCUGGCUGUAGUUCCUUUCAUGGCUCCUUUGAUGUAAGAAAGAUGCUAGUAGAGACUAGAGACAAAGGGAAUCAAAUUAUGGGAGGAGGCGGCCCUAUCUAUAUUCCUCUUCCCCAAGCGGUUGCUCCCGUCCAUCCUUUGCCAAAAGUGGAGCAUCUCCCAUUUCCUUCUUCAUCUUCUCCUCCUCCUCCUUCCUUCGUAUUCACUCACCUAUAAAUAGCCCUCGCUGCCUGCCAUUGUUACUCAAGCCAGCAAGCAAGAAGCACAAAAGAAGCCAACACCAAUCAAGGCCUCCAUCCAAUCCCAAGCAACCUCGAAGAUGUCUUGCUGCGGAGGAAGCUGCGGCUGCGGCAGCGCCUGCAAGUGCGGCAACGGCUGCGGCGGCUGCAACAUGUACCCCGAGGUCGAGGCCGCCGGCGCCACCCUCCUCGUCGCCGCCACCGCCACCCACAAGGCGUACGUCCCUUCUCCUUCCUCAUAUAUCAUGCACUCGAUCGUAACAAUAUGACUGUAUGUUGAUCUUGGUAUGGGUGGGGUACGUGCAGGAGCUCCGGCGGCAUGGAGAUGGCGGCCGAGAACGGCGGCUGCGGCUGCACCCAGUGCAAGUGCGGCACCAGCUGCGGCUGCUCCUGCUGCAGCUGCUAGAUCAUCGGUCAUGCAUGCACCGCGUGCCUCAUAUCUAUGAUCUAUCUAUAUAUCCAUCUACCACCAUGUAACGCUACCUGAUCACGGUCUUUGUAUGUAUGUACGCACCUGCCUGCAUGAGCAGAGCAGGUGCCAUGCCAUGCAUGUAAACCCCUAAAUAAAAUCUCCCGUGGUUUAACCCCCUAUACAUGUGUUUGUGUUAUAGUCUUAUAGACCAACUUCUGGCCCAUGUUUACUAUGAACUUGCGACUUGCGAGGUGCCUGGGUUGUUAAUAGACCAGCUGGAUGCUCUCUUGAAGCAACGUAUGCACCGCUUGGAGUCGGUGUAUCUUUAUACACAUGUAUUUAUUUUACAGGUGUAUAUCAUCGGCCACACCUGGGAAAAAACGAUGGAUGGAGAAGUGUAAAUUUACAGGGGUAUUGCUCUGUGAAACGAGAAUCGAAUCAGGGCCUUAAGGGUAGGGAUGGCAAUGGGUAGGGUAUGGGCGCGUACGACUUUUUUCUGCCCAAACCCAUACCCAAAUCUUUUUUCUAUACCCAUCUAUUUCAAUAUCCAUGGACACAAAUUGGUACCCAUGCCCAUACCUAUCGGGUAUAUUAUACCCAAUGGAUAUCCAAUGGGUAUAGUAUCUAACAUUGGCAUGAUAAAGGUAAGCCAAGAAAAGGGCCUAAAACUAAAUUUAGGUACUCGGCCAUCACAAUCCGGUUUGCACUUACAUCAAAAUUUUACAAUGUGGAUUGACACACAAAUGUCUUAAUCUUCAUUACAAACUAACUUAAAAAAACAAGUUUCAAACUUGCAAUGCCAAUCACUGUAGGUAUUAUAGGGUUUAAUUUAUUUAUUAAUUUUUCUGGGUAUCCAUUAGGAUACCCAUGGGUAUAAUUUCAUACCCAUACCCUACCCAUGCAUUUUGCGGGUAUGGACACCCAUUACCCAUGGGUAUGAAGUAGUAAAAAGUCUUAUCCAUGCCCACUGUUUUCGGGUAGGGUACCCGCGGGUACCCAUACCCAUGGGCAAAACUGCCAUCCCUACUUAAGGGCGUUUGAUACAUGCGAAUAUUACUGGCCAAAGUUGAGUAUGAGAUACAUACAAUACAAACUUGACACUUUUGAAAGUCGUGCUAUCAAUCAUGAGACGCAUAGUUUAGCCAAAUUCUCGCUUAAUCUUUGUCAAAGGGUGUCACAUCUGGUUUGGCCAACCCCAUGAUCCGAUAUGUAUCCUACUCUCUGUGGUUUUCGAUGAAUAAAAUUUGGUUAAACCCUAAAAAAACUUAUUUGACGCGCCUUAGUUUUUUUCGAGAAUUUUUUUUAAAUCCGUUCAUCAAUCAUGGCAGUACAAAAAUCACAACCAGGUCCAUGAACCACCUAGCGACGACUACACUCACUGGAGCGAGCUAAACGUGCGCCGCCAUUAUCGCCCCUCCCUUACCGGAGUCGGACAAACCUUAUUGUAGUAGACAGUUGGAAAGUUAUCGUGCUAAGACCCUCAAGGACCACCGCACUGCAUAGCAACCAUCGUCGAUGAAAAGAGUUGUAGAUUGGAAAGAUCAAAGCUAUAACCACACAAGCGAAGACGAACAAAAAUGGAUCCAAUAGAUCCACCAAAGUCCAGCACGACAGAAUCCUGUGAGAUCCGGCGGGGACACACCUCCACAUGUCCUCCUCCGAUGUUAUUCGCACCACCGGGACGAGGAUCGGAUGUGGGAGACAUUAUUCCUACCCAGGGACAUCACUACCGUCACACAGCCCCAACCAAGACGUUAAACCUAACAAAAACGAGAACGGGUCCCUCCCGCUGCCGGGGGGCCAAGAUCCUCCGCACUCCGGGGAAUCGGCGCCGGCGGCAACGGGAUGAGAAAGGAAACUUUUCUUGAGAAGGAGGAAAGACAGACACAUACUGUUGUGUCUAAAUUACCGUGUCUUAGUUUGAUGUACUAUUUGCACCAGCUACUUCAUAACUAGAUUGCCAUGGUUGACGAUGGGUGUGUUCCCCUCUACUAAUAGUGCGGCAGUGCCCUAGCGGCGACAACUAUAUCAUGAACAAUUAAAACUUCACGAAAUUGGUGGCCUGGUGACUUAUGCCUGUGCCUAUAUCGCACGCUCUUUUGUGAUGACAAAGAAACAGAUUAUCAUUUUCGGAGGUUAAAUGGAAACAGAUGGAGUGAACCACAUGUAUGUUGUACCAGCAAAACAAUAUUUAAAUCGAUUCGUUGAUGAUUUCCUUGAUAUAAAAUUUGAGGUGUGCUCUACAACACCCCACCCUACCCCCGGAGCUCCUAUUUGGCACGCUAAGCGCUAGCGGUCGAGCCCGUGCGCGUCCCCUUCCCUUGCACACCCAUUUGGGUCGGCCCAUGCGCGGGGCGGGACACGCCGUUUUUAUUUUUUAUUUUUCUUUUAUUUAUUUUUUAAAUAAUUCAGGAUUUCAAAAAGUUUCAAAUUUAAAAAAAAUGUCAACUUUGAAAAAACAAAGAAAUCAUAAAAUGUUCAUGGAUUCAAAAAAUAUCUUGAAUUUGAAAGACAUGUCCGGACAUUCCCAAAAUGUUCAUAAAUUUGAACAAAAUGUUCACAAAUUAAAAAACAUGUUCAGAAAACUAAAUAAAUGAUUCUCAAUUACGAAAAUAUUGAAAAAUCAAAAAAUGUUCGUUGAUUCAAAAAAUGUUAAUUAAUUUCGAAAAAUAUUUGUCAAACAAAUAGUAUUCAUGAAUGUCAAAAAUUGUUCCCAGAUUUCAAAAACUAUUUCUUGUCAAAAAUUAUUCAGCAAUUCAAAUGUCCAUGAGUUUUAAAACAAUGUUUACAAUUUUAAAAAAUUCUUAGAUAUAAAAAAAUGUUUGUGAAUUCAAAAAAUAUUCAAGAUUAAAUUAAAUUCAUGAAUUUUUAAACAUGUUCAUGAAUUUGAAAAAUAAUCACAACAAAACAAUGUUCAUGCAAUUGGAAAAUGCUCACAAUUUAAAUAAUGUUAAAAAUCAUUAAAAAGUUCAUAAAUUUGAAAAUAAGUUCAAAAAAUGAAAGACUGAAAAAAGAAAAGAAAAACUGACAUCAAAAUAGGAAAAUAUAAAUAAGGUAAAAACGAAAACGAAAAAUAGAAAUGAAAUAAUGAAAAUGAAAAAACAAAAAUAACCCGAAAGGAAAAAACUGGUAUGGAAAGGUUCUAGAACGUUCCCAAAACCGAAAAGGAGGUACUUGGGCCGCCCCAAAAUGUGUACCUAGUGGGAGGGGCGUAUGCGCUAGGAUUAGCCCCCUAAAAAGCUUCACAACUUUUGAGCAGAUCAAUGGUCUAGAUUAAAACAUGUCCUUUACUUUAGAAGGGGUAAUAUAAAAAAUUCACAUUAUAAAAACACUUGCAAUAAAAAAGAUAACGGGCGCUCUAGAAACCCAUGGCGGCUAGUGCGACUUGUUUGGAGCUAUUCGUCUCCUUCCCAACCCUUAUCCACUACCCCGGUCGUCCAUGUAUCUGUCAAAAGUGUUAGAUGAAGGAAAUAUGCCCUAUAGGCAAUAAUAAAGUUAUUAUUUAUUUCCUUAUUUCAUGAUAAAUGUUUAUUAUUCAUGCUAGAUUUGUAUUAACCGGAAACAUAAUACAUGUGUGAAUACAUAGACAAACAUAGUGUCACUAGUAUGCCUCUACUUGACUAGCCCGUUAAUCAAAGAUGGUUAAGUUUCCUAACCAUAGACAUGAGUUGUCAUUUGAUUAACGAGAGCACAUCAUUAGGAGAAUGAUAUGAUUGACUUGACCCAUUCCGUUAGCUUAGCACUUGAUCGUUUAGUAUUCUGCUAUUGCUUUCUUCAUGACUUAUACAUGUUCCUAUGACUAUGAGAUUAUGCAACUCCCGUUUACCGGAGGAACACUUUGUGUGCUAUCAAACGUGACAACGUAACUGGGUGAUUAUAAAGGUGCUCUACAGGUGUCUCCGAAGGUACUUGUUGGGUUGGCGUAUUUCGAGAUUAGGAUUUGUCACUCCGAUUGCCGGAGAGGUAUCUCUGGCCCACUCGGUAAUACACAUCACUUAAGCCUUGCAAGCAUUGCAACUAAUGAGUUAGUUGCGGGAUGAUGUGUUAUGGAACGAGUAAAGAGACUUGCCGGUAACGAAAUUGAACUAGGUAUUGAGAUACGGACGAUCGAAUCUCGGGCAAGUAACAUACCGAUGGCAAAGGGAACAACGUAUGUUGUUAUGCGGUUUGACCGAUAAAGAUCUUCGUAGAAUAUGUAGGAGCCAAUAUGAGCAUCCAUGUUCCGCUAUUGGUUACUGACCGGAGACGUGUCUCGGUCAUGUCUACAUAGUUCUCGAACCCGUAGGGUCCGCACGCUUAAAGUUCGAUGACGGUUAUAUUAUGAGUUUAUGGUUUUUGAUGUACCGAAGGUAAUUCGGAGUCCUGGAUGUGAUCACGGACAAGACGAGGAGUCUCGAAAUGUUUGAUACGUAAAGAUCAAUAUAUUGGACGACUAUAUUUGGAUAUCGGAAUGGUUCCGGGUGAGAUCAGGAUAAUACCGGAGCACCGGGAGGUUAUUGGAACCCUCCCCCCCGGAGGUAUAUGGGCCUUAAUGGGCUUUAGUGGAAAGGAGGGAAAAGGAGCAAGGGAGGGGGCGCCCCCCCCCCCCCCAAGCCCAAUCCGAAUAGGGAAGGGGGCCACCCCCCUUUCCUUCCUCCCUCCUUCCUCUUCCUUCCCUCCCCCUCUCCAAAUAGGAAAAGGAGGAGUCCUACUCCCGAUGGGAGUAGGACUCCCCCCUUGGGCGCGCCUCCUCCCCUUGACCAGCCCUCUCCUCCCCUCCUUUAUAUACGGAGGAGAGGGGCACCCCAUAGACAGAACAAUUGAUCUCUUGGAUCUUUUAGCCGUGUGCGGUGCCCCUCUCCACCAUAGUCCACCUCGAUAAUAUCGUAGCGGUGCUUAGGCGAAGCCCUGCGACGGUAGAACAACAUCGUCACCACGCCCUCGUGCUGAUAGAACUCUCCCUCACAGCUCGGCUGGAUAGGAGUUCGAGGGAUGAAACCGAGUUGAACGUGUGCAGAACUCGGAGGUGCCGUGCGUUCGGUACUUGAUCGGUCGGAUCGUGAAGACAUACGACUACAUCAACCGCGUUGUGCUAAUGCUUCCGCUUUCGGUCUACAAGGGUACGCGGACACACUCUCCCCUCUCGUUGCUAUGCAUCACCAUGAUCUUGCAUGUGCGUAGGAAAUUUUUUGAAAUUACUACGUUACCCAACAGUGGUAUCAGAGCCAGGUUUUAUGCGUUGAUGUUAUAUGCACGAGUAGAAAACAAGUGAGUUGUGGGCGAUACAAGUCAUACUGCUUACCAGCAUGUCAUACUUUGGUUCGGCGGUAUUGUUGGAUGAAGCGGCCCGGACCGACAUUACGCGUACGCUUACGCGAGACUGGUUCUACCGACGUGCUUUGCACACAAGUGGCUGGCGGGUGUCAGUUUCUUCAACUUUAGUUGAACCGAGUGUGGCUACGCCCGGUCCUUGAGAAGGUUAAAACAGCACUAACCUGACGAACUAUCGUUGUGGUUUUGAUGCGUAGGUAAGAACGGUUCUUGCUCAGCCCGUAGCAGCCACGUAAAACUUGCAACAACAAAGUAGAGAACGUCUAACUUGUUUUUGCAGGGCAUGUUGUGAUGUGAUAUGGUCAAGACAUGAUGCUAUAUUUUAUUAUAUGAGAUGAUCAUGUUUUGUAAUCGAGUUAUCGGCAACUGGCAAGAGCCAUAUGGUUAUCGCUUUAUUGUAUGCAAUGCAAUCGCCCUGUAAUUGCUCUACUUUAUCACUAGGCGGUAGCGAUAGUCAUAGAAGCAAUAGUUGGCGAGACGACAAUGAUGCUACGAUGGAGAUCAAGGUGUCGCACUGGUGACGAUGGUGAUCAUGACGGUGCUUCGGAGAUUGAGAUCACAAGCACAAGAUGAUGAUGGCCAUAUCAUAUCACUUAUAUUGAUUGCAUGUGAUGUUUAUCUUUUAUGCAUCUUAUUUUGCUUUGAUUGACGGUAGCAUUAUAAGAUGAUCUCUCACUAAAUUUCAAGAUAAAAGUAUUCUCCCUGAGUAUGCACCGUUGCCAAAGUUCGUCGUGCCCAGACACCAUGUGAUGAUCGGGUAUGAUAAGCUCUAUGUCCAUCUACAACGGGUGCAAGCCAGUUUUGCACACGCAGAAUACUCAGGUUAAACUUGACGAGCCUAGCAUAUGCAGAUAUGGCCUUGGAACACCGAGACCGAAAAGUCGAGCUUGAAUCAUAUAGUACAUAUGAUCAACAUAAUGAUGUUCACCAUUGAAAACUACUCCAUUUCACGUGAUGAUCAGUUAUGGUUUAGUUGAUUUGGAUCACAUGAUCACUUAGAUGAUUAGAGAGAUGUCUAUCUAAGUGGGAGUUCUUAAAGUAAUAUGGUUAAUUGGACUUUAAUUUAUCUUGAACUUAGUCCUGGUAGUAUUAGCAUAUCUAUGUUGUAUAUCAAUAGCUCGCGUUUAGCUCCCCUGUUUUAUUUUUGAUAUGUUCCUAGAGAAAACUAAGUUGAAAGAUGUUAAUAGCAAUGAUGCGGAUUGGAUCCGUGAUCUGAGGAUUAUCCUCACUGUUGCACAGAAAUAUUAUGUCCUUGAUGCACCGCUAGGUCACAGACCUAUUGCAGGAGCAGAUGCUGACGUUAUGAACAUUUUGACAAAAGCUCGGUAUGAUGACUACUUGAUAGUUUAGUGCACCAUGCUUUACGACUUAGAACCGGGACUUCAAAAAUGUUUUGAACGCCACGGAGCAUAUAAGAUAUUCCAAGAAUUGAAAUUGGUAUUUCAUACUCAUGCCAGUGUCGAGAGGUAUGAGACCUCUGACAUUACUUUGCCUACAAGAUGGAGGAGAAUAGCUCAACCAGUAAGCAUGUGCUCAGAUUGUCUGAGUACUACAAUCACUUGAAUCAAGUGGGAGUUAAUCUUCUAGAUAAUAUAGUGAUUGACAGAGUUCUCUAGUCACUAUCACCAAGUUGUUAGAACUUCAUGAUGAACUAUAAUAUGCAAGGGAUAACGGAAACGAUUCCCAAGCUCUUCAUGAUGCUGAAAUCGACGAAGGUAAAAAUCAAGAAAAGCAUCAAGUGUUGAUGGUUAACAAGACCACUAUUUUCAAGAAAAGGGCAAAUGGAAUAAGGGGAAUUUCAAGAAGAACGGCAAGCAAGUUGCUGCUCAAGUGAAGAAGCCCAAAUCUAGACCUAAGCCUGAGACUAAGUGCUUUUACUGCAAAGGGACUAGUCACUGGAAGUGGAACUGCCCCAAGUAUUUGGCAGAUAAGAAGGAUGGCAAAGUGAACAAAGGUAUAUUGGAUAUACAUGUUAUUGAUGUGUACUUUACUAGUGUUUAUAGCAACCCCUCAGUAUUUGAUACUAGUUCAGUUGCUAAGAGUAGUAACUUGAAAUGGUAGUUGGACAAUGAACAGAGACUAGUUAAGGGUGGAGCAACGAUGUGUGUUGGAAGUAGUUCCAAGAAUGAUAUGAUCGUCAUCGCACACUCCCUAUACUUUCAGGAUUAGUGUUGAACCUAAAUAAGUGUUAUUUGGUGUUUUCGUUGAGCAUGAAUAUGAUUUGAUCAUGUUUAUUGCAAUACGGUUAUUCAUUUAAGUUAGAGAAUAAUUGUUAUUCUGUUUACAUGAAUAAAACCUUCUAUGGUUAUACACCCAAUGAAAAUGGUUUGUUGAAUCUUGAUUGUAGUGAUACACAUAUUCAUAAUAUUGAAGCCAAAAGAUGCAAAGUUAAUAAUGAUAGUGCAACUUAUUUGUGGCACUGUCGUUUAGGUCAUAUUGGUGUAAAGCGCAUGAAGAAAAUCCAUGCUGAUGGGCUUUUGGAAUCACUUGAAUAUAAAUCAGUUGAUGCUUGCGAACCAUGCCUCAAGGGUAAAGAGGACUAAGACUCCGUUCUCCAGAACAAUGGAGCGAGGAACUGACUUAUUGGAUAUAAUACAUACUGAUGUAUGAGGUCCGAUGAGUGUUGAGGCUCGCGGCGGGUAUCGUUAUUUUCUGACCUUCACAGAUAAUUUGAGCAGAUAUGGGUAUAUCUACUUGAAGAAACAUAAGUCCGAAACAUUUGAAAAGUUUAAAGAAUUUCAGAGUGAAGUGGAAAAUCAUCGUAACAAGAAAAUAAAGUUUCUACGAUCUGAUCGUAGAGGCAAAUAUUUGAGUUACGAGUUUGGUCUUCAAUUAAAACAAUAUGGAAUAGUUUCACAAACUCAUGCCACCUGGAACACCAUAGCGUAAUGGUGUGUCCGAAAGUCAUAACUGUGCUUUAUUUGAUAUAGUGCAAUCUAUGAUGUCUCAUACCGAUUUACCACUAUCAUUUUGGGGUUAUGCAUUAGAGAUAGCUGCAUUCACAUUAAAAAGGGCACCAUCUAAAUCUGUUGAGAUAACACCGUAUGAACUGUGGUUUAGCAAGAAACCUAAGGUGUCGUUUCUUAAAGUUUGGGGUUGCGAUGCUUAUGUGAAAAAGGUUUAUCUUGAUAAGCUCAAACCCAAAUCGAAGAAGUGCGUCUUCAUAGGAUACCCAAAAGUAACUGUUGGGUACACCUUCUAUCACAGAUCCGAAGGCAAGAUAUUUGCUGCUGAGAAUAGAUCCUUUCUAGAGAAGGAGUUUCUCUCGAAAGAAGUGAGUGGGAGGAAAGUAGAACUUGAUGAGGUAACUGUACCUGCUCCCUUAUUGGAAAGUAGUUCAUCACAGAAAUCUGUUUCUGUGACUCCUACACCAAUUAGUGAGGAAACUAAUGAUGAUGAUCAUGUAACUUCAGAUCAAGUUAUUACCAAACCUCUUAGGUCAACCAGAGUGAGAUCCGCACCAGAGUGGUACGGUAAUCCUGUUCUGGAGGUCACGUUAAUUGACCAUGACGAACCUACGAACUAUGAGGAAGCGAUGAUGAGCCCAGAUUCCGCGAAAUGGCUUGAGGCAUGAAAUCUAAUAUGGGAUCCAUGUAUGAGAACAAAGUGUGGACUUUGGUUAACUUGCCCGAUGAUCGGCAAGCCAUAGAAAAUAAAUGGAUCUUCAAGAGGAAGACGGACAGUGAUAGUAGUGUUGCUAUCUACAAAGCUCGAAUUGUCGCAAAAUGUUUUCGACAAGUUCAAGGUGUUGACUACGAUGAGAUUUUCUCACUCGUAUCGAUGCUUAAGUCCGUCCGAAUCAUGUUAGCAAUUGCCGCAUUUUAUGAUUAUGAAAUUUGGCAAAUGGAUGUAAAGACUGCAUUCCUGAAUGGAUUUCUGGAAGAAGAGUUGUAUAUGAUGCAACCUGAAGGUUUUGUCGAUCCUAAAGGUGCUAACAAAGUGAGCAACCUCCAGCGAUCCAUCAAUGGACUGGUGCAAGCUUCUCGAAGUUGGAAUAAACGUUUUGAUAGUGUGAUCAAAGCAUAUGGUUUUAUACAGACUUGCGGUGAAGCCUGUAUUUACAAGAAAGUGAGUGGGAGCACUACAACAUUUCUAAUAAGAAGUGUGAAUGACAUAUUGUUGAUCGGAAAUAAUGUAGAAUUUUCUGGAAAGCAUAAAGAAGUAUUUGAAAUGAGUUUCUCAAAUAAAGACCUCGAUGAAGCUACUUACAUAUUGAGCAUCAAGAUCUAUAGAGAUAGAUCAAGACGCUUGAUAAGUUUUUUCAAUGAGUGCAUACCUUGACAAGAUUUUGAAGUAGUUCAAAAUGGAACAGUCAAAGAAAGAGAUCUUACCUGUGUUACAAGGUGUGAAAUUGAGUAAGACUCAAAGCCCGACCACGGCAGAAGAUAGAAAGAGAAUGAAAGUCAUUCCCUAUGCCUCAACCAUAGUUUCUAUAAAGUAUGCCAUGCUGUGUACCAGAUCUAUUGUAUACCCUACACUGAGUUUAGCAAUGGAAUACAAUAGUGAUCUAGGAGUAGAUCACUGGAUAGCGGUCAAAAUUAUCCUUAGUGGAAUAAGGAAAUAUUUCUCGACUAUGGAGGUGAUAAAAGAGUUCGUCGUAAAGAGUUACGUCGAUGCAAGCUUUUUACAUCGAUCUAGAUGACUCUAAGUCUCGAUCUGGAUACAUAUUAAAAGUGGGAGCAAUUAGCUAGAGUAGCUCCAUGCAAAGCAUUGUUGACACAGAAAUUUUCAAAAUACAUAUGGAUCUGAAUGUGGCAGACCCGUAGACUAAACUUCUCUCACAAGUAAAACAUGAUCACACCUUAGUACUCUUUGGGUGUUAAUCGCAUAGCGAUGUGAACUAGAUUAUUGACUCUAGUAAACCCUUUGGGUGUUGAUCACAUGACGAUGUGAACUAUGGGUGUUAAUCACAUGGUGAUGUGAACUAUUGGUGUUAAAUCACAUGGCGAUGUGAACUAGAUUAUUGACUCUAGUGCAAGUGGGAGACUGAAGGAAAUAUGCCCUAGAGCCAAUAAUAAAGUUAUUAUUUAUUUCCUUAUUUCAUGAUAAAUGUUUAUUAUUCAUGCUAGAUUUGUAUUAACCGGAAACAUAAUACAUGUGUGAAUACAUAGACAAACAUAGUGUCACUAGUAUGCCUCUACUUGACUAGCUCGCUAAUCAAAGAUGGUUAAGUUUCCUAACCAUAGACAUGAGUUGUCAUUUGAUUAACGGGAUCACAUCAUUAGGAGAAUGAUAUGAUUGACUUGACCCAUUCCGUUAGCUUAGCACUUGAUCGUUUAGUAUUCUGCUAUUGCUUUCUUCAUGACUUAUACAUGUUCCUAUGACUAUGAGAUUAUGCAACUCCCGUUUACCAGAGGAACACUUUGUGUGCUACCAAACGUCACAACGUAACAGGGUGAUUAUAAAGGUGCUCUACAGGUGUCUCCGAAGUUACUUGUUGGGUUGGCGUAUUUCGAGAUUAGGAUUUGUCACUCCGAUUGUCGGAGAGGUAUCUCUGGCCCCUCGGUAAUACACAUCACUUAAGCCUUGCAAGCAUUGCAACUAAUGAGUUAGUUGCGGGAUAAUGUGUUAUGGAACGAGUAAAGAGACUUGCCAGUAACGAGAUUGAACUAGGUAUUGAGAUACCGACGAUCGAAUCUCGGGCAAGUAACAUACCGAUGGCAAAGGGAACAACGUAUGUUGUUAUGCGGUUUGACCGAUAAAGAUCUUCGUAGAAUAUGUAGGAGCUAAUAUGAGCAUCCAUGUUCCGCUAUUGGUUAUUGAACGGAGACGUGUCUCAGUCAUGUCUACAUAGUUCUCGAACCCGUAGGGUCCGCACGCUUAAAGUUCGAUGACGGCUAUAUUUUGAGUUUAUGGUUUUUGAUGAACCGAAGGUAAUUCAGAGUCCUGGAUGUGAUCACGGACAAGACGAGGAGUCUCGAAAUGUUCGAGACGUAAAGAUCGAUAUAUUGGACGACUAUAUUUGGAUACCAGAAUGGUUCCGGGUGAGAUCGGGAUAAUACCGGAGCACCGGGAGGUUAUCGGACCCCCCCGGAGGUAUAUGGGCCUUAAUGGGCUUUAGUGGAAAGGAGGUAAAAGGAGAAAGGGAGGGGGCGCCCCCCCCCCCCCAAGCCCAACCCGAACUGGGAAGCCCCCCCCCUUUCCUUCCUCCCUCCUUCCUCUUCCUUCCCUCUCCCUCUCCAAAUAGGAAAAGGAGGAGUCCUACUCCCGGUGGGAGUAGGACUCCCCCCUUGGGCGCACCUCCUCCCCUUGGCCGGCCCUCUCCUCCCCUCCUUUAUAUACGGAGGAGAGGGGCACCCCAUAGACACAACAAUUUAUCUCUUGGAUCUUUUUGCUGUGUGCGGUGCCCCUCUCCACCAUAGUCCACCUCGAUAAUAUUGUAGCGGUACUUAGGCGAAGCCCUGUGACGGUAGAACAUCAACAUCGUCACCACGCCGUUGUGCUGAAGGAACUCUCCCUCAAAGCUCGGCUGGAUCGGAGUUUGAGGGACGUCAUCGAGUUGAACGUGUGCAGAACUCAGAGGUGCCGUGCGUUCGGUACUUGAUCGGUCGGAUCGUGAAGACAUACGACUACAUCAACCGCAUUGUGCUAAUGCUUUCGCUUGCGGUCUACAAGGGUACACGGACACACUCUCCCCUCUCGUUGUUAUGCAUCACCAUGAUCUUGCGUGUGCGUAGGAUUUCUUUUUAAAUUACUAUGUUACCCAACAUUAGACUCCUCCACUUUAUCUUACUCCUCACAUUCCCAUCAUCCGACAUAGUAUGACGACAUCUCAGCCCCUUGUAUUCACAUCACACGGUGUUCAAAUCGCACGAGCCACGAGGCCUUGUUUUUUAAACAGAAGUGGUGUACCCAAGCACCCCUAAUGAAAUUGGCGUUCCCUUGAUCCAAAGAAAAAAAGAGUAAAAAGAAACCAAACACUCCCCCCCCCACAUACACCUCCAGCGUUCCUAUGCACCGAAUUGUACACAACCAAUAGUUUCUACAUUGCUACACAUGAAUGAUGCUUACAGUUGAAAUAAAAGGCAACUCAUUGUCGCUUACAACUAAAUAGCAAAAGGAUACUAGGAGUAGAGUUUGACAUAGGCUAGAGUAAGUGCAUUAUAUAUCCUUAUUUCUGUUUCGCAAUUUUUUUUCCUUAUUUCUAGUGUGUGAUUGCCACCCAAGAUUGCAAUAGAACACCAGGUCAACUGACAAUCCAAUCCCUGGUGUUCUAUUAUAUGUCGAGUUAAAUACUAAAAAGUGCUACUAGGAGUAGAGUAUGAGAUGAACGAGAGUAAGUGCAUUAUGUAUAUCCUCAAUUAUAGUGUGCGGUCACCACCCAAGAUUGCAACAGAACACCAAUUUGGCUGACGAAACCAAUCUAGUCCAAUCGCUUAUUGAACUAAAAGUCGGUAUAUGUACUUAGGAGUUGCCUAACUAAAGCAUGCGGUUCAACUUGAUAGAUCUAGUAAGAUUCAACUCGAUAAUCGUUUAAUUCCUAAUGGUUUCUAUAAAAAAUAGUUACAAUAACUAACUCAAACGAAAUAUAAGCGAACAAUCAAACAUCGACCGGCUCACAUGGCUUCCAAAUAAAACUAAUUAACAGAUCGAGUAAUACAUUGUUUAUUCCUUGCUCUUAAUAUGAGGUUAUACAUAACAUAUUUUGGUCCAUCCUGAAGUAAGUAUUACGUAACAAGUACUAGCUAGUAUUUCAGUCUCUACUAGCAAAUGUUGCAAUAGCAAACAGCCUUGAUGGCGUUCUUCUUAUCACAGUGGUAGUCCUUGAGGCUGCCCUUCCUAUCACGUGCAAACACGUCACACGUGGCCUUGCAUAGAGGCUUGGUGCAGAAAAACUCCCCGCCGUCGUCAACGACCGCGAAAUUGUGCUGCACAACACCAAGAAAACACAAACCAUUAUAUUAGAAUAUUAGCGACAAACCCCCAUUAGAUUAGAUUAUACGUAUUUGACAAACACAAUUAAACACACCUGCAGAAAUAGGAGUACCCACAAGUGUUAGCACCACGAGGAAGCAAACAAUAGCAGCCCGUGUGUCCAUCCCAAGAGUUCUCUCCUUUUUUGAACUAGAAGGAAAAAUAUGUGUUCUCUUCGUCUAUUUUAAUUUGGCUAUGGGACUAAUGUUUAUGUCUUGAAGUGCUUGGAGUGUUGUCUUAUAUAGACUUAUUGAAAGGGACAAAAAUAAAAGCAUUUAAAUGAUUGUUAAACUUAGCAAAAGAGAUAGAGGUGAGUCACACCCCAAAAAUGGAAGCACUUAAUGCUGGGUGAGAAAUUAAAUGACGAAGGCAAAGAAUAUAUGAGUGAUGUUUAUCCAAUAAUCAAGGCUUUAAUUUUCGACUACAAAAUAAGCAUGACCAUUCAAAAAAUGGAGUCAUCUUUUUGUCGCUGGUGACAUUGAUCAAACAUGGUUUUUUAUAAAAAAAAAUGUAUAGCCACUUUAAUUGCAAACACCAUUGUGCAUUGAAAUUCAGUUGACUUCAACAAAACAAUCAAUAUGAAUUGCAUGCUUGAUAUGUAACCAACUAAAACUAAAAUUGUAUGUUGUCUCGAGUUGACUAAAUCACCAUUUUUGGCUAGACAAUGUUUAAAACUGUGUCAACUGUGUCAAUUUGCACGGCGCCUGGGACAAUGCAAUGUCAAAUCUUGCACUAUUUUAAACCACCACAAGAUAAGCAAGCUGAGUUGGCCCGGGCCUCUUGCCAGACGCUGGCAUCCACCUCGAAAUCUAUAUCAAUAUAUUUUUUGUAUCACAUGAAUCAUAUAGUAUUGGUCUAAAAUAUAUUUUCUCUUGUUGCAAAAUAUGAAAGAAAAAUCGGCACAACAAUAUUAUAUAGACCCAUCGCAACAAUAGCAUGCUUCACAGUCGGUGGGUCCCAUGUAAAGACAUUUGGAAAUACCUCAAAAAUGCAUAUGUGUACUAUUUAUUAUUGUCCAAGAAUUUCACAUGCUCACUCACAACAAACUGUUGAAGAAUUCCGUGCAACUUAGAAACUAACGUAUGCAACAACGCGAGCACAACAUUUGUGUUAGGACUAACAAAAUUACAUUACAUUGUAGCAUGUCACACAUGUGUAUGUAGUAUGACGCAAAUGAGUUCACAGCAUACCAAAACAACGAAUGGUAACUACAAAAAAUUCCCAUAAAUCUAACAUUUUACAACCAAAAAAUUUGGUGGGCACUGACCUCACCUCAUCAAACUUGCUCUAAUAUUCUAGUUAGUGUAGAGUUUUGGAUUAAGCUAAAGUUGCUCUAGUAUUAUGCCACAACAAAAAGGAAAGAAAUGGGGGAAAACAAAGAAGAGCGGAGCAGGGUGGCUUACUCGGAUCUAAGUCGGCCAAUAUCAAUCGCAUUGCCCUCCUAAAUCCUGAUUACUCAAGCCAGCCCAAAAUUGAGGGGCUACUAAAAUAGAAGUUGAGCCUAUGGUGCAAGAACAGAAAAGCCAUUGGAUUGGAUAUGGAUAGCACAUGAUCUGGUGGAGCGAUCUCAGGCCACUUUUUGUAUAUUUUAUGAAAAAACCCUAUUAACAGUUAGGUACAAAACAAAACAUUCGCAGUGACCACCUUAAGUAUCUCAUCUCCCAAUCCAAUAGUGGAGUUAACGACCAUUUACAGAUUUCAGGUUUUUUCCAGCGACCAUUUAUAGAAUUUGCACAACCUCAUAUCCUAUCAGUUUUAUAAAAUAUAUUUUCACAUACCGAGCACAAAUAUAUGGUUGUAAGAAUGAAGAACUCAUACUCAUGCUUGUUUUAAUUCUAGUAUUUACACCCCUAAGGUUGUUAAGGUCCGGUUACAAAAACUCGAAUUUAAUUCUCUUAUAAGAACUUGUUAGAGUCCUGUCAUAGUGCACAUCCUCUCGUGGAUUCGAUAACUCAAGGUUGCUCCUUCGGGAAAAGGGAGGGAAACCUUUGUUGUCCAAACCGGAUCUCAAAGAGCACCACCCAUCUCUCACCCUACUCGAUGAUACAACAUCGACGACCAGGUACGUGUGUAACCAACCGUCUGCUCCCUCGCUCUGUCACUGUGGUGCUAUUCAUUACAUCAAGUCGGGACCCAUUUCCUUCCUUUUGAGGUUAACAAUUAAGGUUUCUAGUCUAUAUGAGGGCCUUCGGAUUCAACUUAUAAGAAUGUUAGUUCAAAUUUAAUGAUGAUUAUUUCAAGUGGAUGGUUAUGUGAACUAGGUUGGUAGAGUGGUGGCCGACCACUGUUGCGGCGGACUUCAGGGAUGUUUGAUCUAUCCACCUGGCUUGAUCAAGCAGCGUCGACAUUUGUGCAUCAUUAUUUUGUUGAAUAUGUUCGUUCGAUUUGCUUGUUGCAGGGGUGAUAGCCUCUGGUCCGACGUUUGGUUACACGAGACAAUAAGCUCCCCUUGCAAAAGUGUAUGAUGUGGGAAUUACGUGUUGUACUCCUCAGGUGCAAACGCACGUAUAUAUGAUGUACAGGAGUAGGCCACGACCUCAAUUAUACAAGGCAACUAGGAGGUGGGCCCAAUACACAAAUAUGCACAACAAAGACUGGACCGGAACUCCUCAAAAUGAUGCCGUAGGCAAGUCCUUGGUCAUGGUAUAUGCAAAUUGUUGGGAAGUAGGGACGUGUAAAACACGAAUAUGGCCAAGGGCCACCUAUUCCCGAACAAAAUGAAUAUCCAACUCAAUAUGCUUGGUCCGUCGAUGAUGCACCGGGUUAGCGGAGAGGUAGACUGCCGAGACGUUGUCGCAAUAGACCACCGUGGCACGGUCAACAGGGAAAGAGAGCUCCUGAAGCAGCUGGCGAAGCCACGAACACUCGGCGACGGUGUUGGCCACCGCAGGAUACUCAGCCUCAGCGUUGGAACGAGAGACCGUAGGCUGCCGCGUGGAUGACCACGAGAUAAGUGAGGGUCCAAGGUAGACACAAUAGCCCGAGGUGGAGCGACGAGUUUUAGGGCAGCCCGCCCAGUCUGCAUUGAAGUAGGCGGCGAGGGCAGUGUCGGCGGAGGCAUGAAGCGUGACACCAAGAUCCAUAGUGCCACAGACAUAGCGGAGAAUCCGUUUGACAACGGCCCAGUGCAUCUCGAGGAGCAUGCAUAUGAAGACACACCUGCUGCACGACAUACUGGAUCUCUGGUUGAGUUAAAGUGAGGUACUGAAGAGCACCAACAAUAGACCGAUAAAAAGCAGCAUCCGAAGCAGGAGAACCAUCCGUGGCAGAAAGCUUGGCCUUUGUAUAAACAGGCGUAGCAGCGGGCUUGUAGUUAAGCAUGUUGGCCCGCUCCAGGAGCUCAUGAGCAUACUUCCGCUGAUGAAAGAAGAAGCCAUCCGGACGGCACACCACCUCGACACCGAGGAAGUUGUGCAAAGGACCCAAGUCCUUGAUGGCAAACUCAGCGCGAAGACGAGCCAUGAGCUGACCGAGGAGACCAACCAUACAUGCCGUCAGGAUGACGUCGUCGACAUAGAGCAGAAAGUAGGCCGUGUUAGAGCCCUGAUGAUAGACGAAGAGCGAGGCGUCCGAGCGGGUGGAGCGGAACCCAAGCUGGUGGAGAAACGCUGCGAUGCGCUGGUACCAAGCACGCAGAGCCUUCUUAAGUUCAUACAAGGACCGCGAAAGCAGGCACACGUGGUCGGGAAGCGCCGGGUCAACAAACCCGGUGUGCUGCUGGCAGAAGACCUGCUACUCCAGGUGACCAUGGAGCAAGGCGUUGGAGACGUCCAUCUGGUGCACCGGCCAAGCACGGGAGACUGCAAGGUGGAGAACCGUGUGUAUCGUGUCGGGCUUGACGACCAGAGCGAAGGUGUCGAUGAAGUCGAUGCCAGCACGCUGUCGGAAGCCACGAACGACCCAACGCGGUUUGUAGCGAUCAAAGGUACCAUCGGGACGGAGGUUGUGUUUGAAGACCCACUUCCCGGUAAUCACGUUGGCGUGCUGAGGACAGGAAACAAACAUAGAAGAUUUGACUUUAGAAAAAAAAUAGUACAACUUAUCUAUACCUAAUAUUAAAGGACGGAGAUUUUUAUAGUUCUCCAUACAUCUAACUUUAUUAAUAGUCUUCAUCGGCCCACCGGAGCAAGACAAUAAGUAGGCCUGGAAACACUCGAUUCAAUGGGCCUGAAAAAUAAACGGGCAUGCAUCCUCUCUCGCUCAUCUCUCUCCUCUCGAACCCCUCAUAAAAAAUUUCUCUCCUCUCGAUCCCUUCGCUCUCUACUACGAGCGCUCCUGGGGCAGACAUGUUCUCCCUUCUCUCUACCGCUGCGGAUGGCCCAACUUGACUCCGAGACGAACUCUGCUCGAGCACGCACCCAUAGGGUGUCCCGACAGGUUCUUUGCGGUUCCGCAGGCUGGUCUAGGAACAUAUAGAAACAAAUUGACGCCAUCAAACGAAGCCCCAGCUCAAUUGCCUGGUUGCGGAGUGCGGCGGCAUGUCGAGCCGAACGCCGGCAAGAUCAUACAGGAUGAGGCAGUAGAUGCCAACGAUAGUGUGCGUCACCCAACUCGACGCAGGCGAGGAAGAUGAGCAGGACGGCGUUGGAGCUCAGCAGGGCGCCGACGAGAACGUACGGGAAGAGGCGGUAGACGCCGAUGGCGGUGUAGGUAACCCACCCAGCUCGACGAAGGUGAGGAAGAUGAGUAGGACGGGGGGUAGCCGGGGAUUUGAAGAGGACUCGGAAGGGCUACACGAGCAUGACCAGGUCGUCACUGAAUCGGAUCCGUCACCUCAUGCGGCUGAGCUGUUAGAGGACGAUGCAGAGGCUCUGGUCAAAGGCGACCAUGAUGGAUGUGUCACCGCCGGCCACGCGAUAGAGGAAGAAGGUGAGGCUCAAGAGCCGGCCAGCCGAGUGGACGUGCCGGUGCAGUUGUGACCGCUCGGGAGGUUGAAGGCAAGCGAGGGAGCUCAUGCGGCGACGUCGGCAAGGCUCGGUGGCGAGAUAGCGCAGAAGAGCGGUGCAGCGGAGCGACAACCACGAUGCUAGGGCGUUGCGGAGAGAAAGGAUGAAGAGAGAUAGGGCAAGGGAGUCCUACUGCUGGUGGAGGCACGCAGGAGGAGCUCGAGCAUCAGUUGGCGGGCGAAGCAAGGAGUCGCAGGGCUUUCCAGCGACUAUGAUGGUGCGGGUUGAUCUGGGGAGGCUGGGAGAGCUGCCUCCUAGGGGCGCUGGUUCGGGUUGACGUGUGCGUCAUGUGCACUGCUACAAAAUUGCUGGAUAUGUGUAUCUAUAUGUGUGCGGCUGCGAUUUGAAAGUCGUAGCAAUGCACAGGCUUAUAAUUAAAUAAUUAUAUAUCUUUACUUGUUCAGUAGCAACACAUGCUAGCAAGCAGCAGAGACAGUAUACUAUGUUGGCGAUCAUUUGGCGAGCGAGCAGUUGAAUUGCUGCUGGCAUGCAUUGUGCAGGGGCAUGUUCGCUUGGGUCUUGGGACGAAAUCGACUGAGUCAAUAAAUAAUUUUUUAAAAGGAUAUUAGACCCUCGGCCUCUGCAUCAUUCAUUAUGAUGCACACAAAUAUUUUUAGCAAAGUUAGCCAUGGGUCGAACCAUUAGAUAUCAAAUAGACAUCUACAACUAAGUCGACUUCUGCUGCAACAUCUCUUCAAGAAGGGAUAAACUUUCUCGCCAUCGACCGAAACAAUCCGUAAGAAGAAGAAAAUGAUCACACAUGUGAAACAUAAUUGUCAAUACAAAUACAUGACACAUGGUGGUACGAACACACAUCACGAUGGAAGAAUACCAGCAACUUAAAAGCAAGCCUACAUCAAAUCUAUAUUUCAUUAGUAUUUAGUCCAUAUUUUUAUUUCUAUCAACCUAAACUCCAAUUACGUUAAAAUUUAGGUUUGAACUGCAGAUAUGAGAUUUCGAAUUUAAAGAUUGAACGUAUAUUUAAAGUUCUCAUAGUAUGUGUCUAUUUUUUGGGGUGUCUUUUUACUCGAUAGGAAUCCAAUUCAAUGCUCAAAAUCAAAUAACAAGAUUAUUGCUACAUAUUUUGAUAAAGCUAAAUUUUACUUGAAUUUUGGAUGUAGUUUAGACAAAUAAUUCUCACUAAAUCUUACUAUGGGCCAAUUUUUCUCUACCGUUGCAACACACCGGAUCGAGAGUUUCCAAGAAAACAUUGUCAGUCAGAUGCAUUUACUCCAGAUCAUAACUCAUGUCCUAAGCUUCACGUCGUGAUCCUCAAAUCAUGCAUCUUUUUAUUUUCUCAUCAUCAACCGUUGUGACAUGACACAGUUCCUCGACCUGGCCAACCAUGGUUCAUAGGAACUGGUAUAUUUCUCCCGCUGCAACGCACGGGCAUUCGUGCUAGUAUUUUGAAACGGGAGUUAGUAGGUACACCAAUAAUUCGAUAUACCCACAAAAUGCUGGCUCUAGUUCCUUUCAUGGCUCCUUUGAUGUAAGAAAGAUGCUAGUAGUGACUAGAGACAAAGGGAAUCAAAUUAUGGGAGGAGGCGGCCCUAUCUAUAUUCCUCUUCUCCAAGCGGUAGCUCCCGUCCAUCCUUUGCCAAAAGUGGAGCAUCUCUCAUUUCCUUCUUCAUCUUCUCCUCCUCCUCCUUUCUUGAUGCUCACUCGCCUAUAAAUAGCUCUCGCUGCCUGCCAUUGUUACUCAAGCUAGCAAGCAAGAAGCACAAAAGAAGCCAACACCAAUCAAGGCCUCCAUCCAAUCCCAAGCAACCUCGAAGAUGUCUUGCUGCGGAGGAAGCUGCGGCAGCGCCUGCAAGUGCGGCAACGGCUGCGGCGGCUGCAACAUGUACCCCGAGGUCGAGGCCGCCGGCGCCACCCUCCUCGUCGCCGCCACCGCCACCCACAAGGCGUACGUCCCUUCUCUUUCCUCAUACAUCAUGCGCCUCGCUGUAAUAUGACUAUAUAUGUUGAUCUUGCUAUGGGACUAAGGAUGGAUGGAUGGGUGCAGGAGCUCCGGCGGGAUGGAGAUGGCGGCGGAGAAUGGCGGCUGCGGCUGCAC
RNAcentral lists this long non-coding RNA (24879 nucleotides) under Triticum aestivum (bread wheat). RNAcentral's name for it is "long non-coding RNA (TAES_LNC026544)". Lineage: Eukaryota; Viridiplantae; Streptophyta; Magnoliopsida; Poales; Poaceae. The record is from RNAcentral.